Molecule: long non-coding RNA, 1018 nt
Filed under: Lynx pardinus (Iberian lynx)
Lineage: Eukaryota; Metazoa; Chordata; Mammalia; Carnivora; Felidae
Source: RNAcentral
UAAAAUAAUAGAAUUUUUUAAUAAAUUUUUUUUUUCCCCAAACAACUUAUGUUGAUCUUCACCACACGGGGGCCACGGUGGAGAGGAAAGUUCUCUCCGGGCACCCUAAAAAAUGUCCCGGGUAGACUUAGGAGAAAAGUAUUCCUCCGGUGUCGGGAGGUUGAGGGGGGCUAGGAUAAGCAGGGGCCUCGGGUUAGCCUGGCCCCAAGUGAGGCAUCCCUCCAAAGGGCUCCUGGGUGGGGCUCCCUUCCCGGGAGCUUCCGAAGGCUCUGCUGGUGGAAGAUGCUCUGCGGACGAAAGCCCCUCUCGUCCACGGUGGGCACUGGGAGAAGGGGACAGCGGCUGCCUGGGGUGUCCCACCCCAGCCUUGGGGUGGGAAAGAGUUAAUGGCCGGAGUUGGGGAGAACAGGGCUGAGCCACCAGACGCGUCCUGACUUCCGGGGGCUGCCCUGAGCCAACAGCCCAGGAGGCAGGGAGAGGCCUGGCCAGGCCGGGUCCCCUGGGAAGAGAGGAGAGGGGAGGGGACAGGAAGGCAGCAAGGCCGGGGGCGGGGCUGGGCGGGGAGGGUGACGAUGGCCUCUUCAGUCUCAGCACCGCAGUCAGAGGUGGUGGGGCGCCAGGAGCAGGAGGCAAAGCAGAGGGGUGGGCAGCCCGGCCGAGAGCGCGGGGCCGCGGGAGUCCGGGGGCGCCUGGCAGGCAGCGCCCGGGCACGUCUGCUCCCCCCGCUGGUCCUCGCCCCCGUAGCCCCCCCAGUAGUCGUCCUCUGUGGGCGCGUCCCCGCCCUGGCGCCCCCGCGGGUCUUCGGCGGGCAGGUCUCGGUAGAGGGUGGAGGGGUCGGCGGGGGGCGCCCCGGCCUCGGCCACCCCGUACAGGUGGUUGGACGAGCUGUUGCCGCGGGCGCGGCUGCCGGGCCGCGUGGGCGCGGCGGGCGGGCAGGCCUGGAAGUCGGCGUCGCGGAGGGCGCGCAGGUCGCGGCCCUGGCGCUCCGGGGGGGUGGCGCAGGUCACGUCGGAGCUGG